Arachis ipaensis is the source of this 1751-nucleotide non-coding RNA. Lineage: Eukaryota; Viridiplantae; Streptophyta; Magnoliopsida; Fabales; Fabaceae. The record is from RefSeq and is a predicted model, not a curated record.
UAAAAAAAAAUCCAAAAAAGCAAUCACAUUCCUUCAUUCCAUGUUCUCACAGCCCCUUUCUCUUUUUUCCUUUGGAAUGGAGUCAAAACCCCAGCUAGCCUUCAUGACCUCCGCUGCCGUUUGGUCCCCAUCGUCUGCGCGCUUAACCCUCUCAGUUUUAUACUUUGCCCAUAAUUCUCCGUUACACAGUCUGAACCAUAUCAUGUGUCCUAUAUGUUUCGGGCCAACAAAAUGGUGUUCUGAAAAUAUAACUGAGGAGAUUGUACUGUUGUUCGUGGCCUCAUGCAUUGUGGUCAAUGUAGUUACUUUUUGAAAGGUUACUAUUUCGCUAUACAUGAACAACCACCAUAUCACUAGUAUCUACAACAUCAGGCACUUCCCACCACCACAUUGGGCUACAUGUUGCUAUAAAUUCAUCACCCAUAGGAAUACUCCAGCAUCACUUCAGUGAGAGUUCAAGUAAAAAUUCUUUGUAGCUCCACAUAUAUUGGUUACAAAUGGCAACCACGUACAACCACCUCAAGGAUAUUGAGGCAUCUUCUAACCACUUAAUAUUGAGGAUUAAGGUGAGGGUCGUGAAAAUAUGGUUAUUGUCUCCUGCUGAGCAAAAAUACGUGAAGCCAACUUUAGAGUUGGUGGUCAUGGAUCACGUGGGCAAUCGAAUCCAGUGCACUAUUAGGAAUGCUCAGAGGAGGCUCUUUGAAGAUGAGUUAUCGGAGGGAUAAAUCUAUAUCGUAUGUAACUUCUCAACCUCCUUGAAUGACCAGAAAUACAAGGCCACUAAUCAUGCAUGUAGGAUAUACUUCAAGAGGGAUACUCAACUUCAGAUGGUACAUGAUCCAUCAUUUCCAGAAAAUGUGUUUCGUUUUAUUCUUAAUGAUCUAAUACUAAACCACACAAAUGCUCAAUCGCAUCUUAUAGAUAUUAUUGGUCUACUUACUGCCAAAGGUGACAUAAUUGAAUUUACUAAGAAUGGCAAGAAGUGCAACUACAUUGUUCUCAAGCUUGAUGAGAUGCAGGGAAAAGGCAAGAUUAGGUGUACACUUUGGGAGGAUUUUGCAACUAAGUUGGUCAAGCGCAUUGAAGAGUAGCCAACAUCAGAGUACAUCCCCAUUGUACAGUUCGCUAAGUUCAACCUCUUUAAAGUUAUUUCUAUAUACCUUAAUUGGCACAAGUGUAAUGGGCAUAUCAAAUACCAAUCAUAAUUCAAUUCUCUACAUCAAUACAGACUUCCAAGAGGUUUAGGAUUUUGCAAGAGCUGAAAUUGAAGAGUUUUGGCAAAGUCCGAUUCAGAGGUAAGGAAAGUGUAGCAGAUGUUGUCAGAUUUUGACCUCCCUGCACUCAAACGAGCAUUUCUGGAGCUACAGAGGUUCACAUGAUGCGUUCUCAACGGUGUUGGAAAGCUAACUUCUAGAGCUUUCCAGAAAUAUAUAAUAAUCUAUACUUUUCUUCGAAGGGGCCUGCCCAUAUUGGGCGUUGAACGCCAAGGACUACCCCUUUUCUAGCGUUCAACGCCCUCAAAGGAGCCCAAGCCAACGUUGAACGCCCAAUCACCCCCUUUAGGGCGUUCAACACCCACCAAGAAGCACAAGACAGCGUGGAUCAACCCCCUGAUGUGCGUUCAACGCCCAUCCCUCAGGUUGGACGCCAAGCUUAGCCCAAGUACUCAACCAAAGUAGGCCCAAGAAUGGACUUUCACACAUUUAGUAUAGUCUAUCAUACUUUUGUACUUCUUAGUUAUUAGGUUAUUA